Molecule: ribosomal RNA, 117 nt
Filed under: Ugnius badius
Lineage: Eukaryota; Metazoa; Arthropoda; Insecta; Hemiptera; Coreidae
Description: partial small subunit ribosomal RNA
Rfam family: Eukaryotic small subunit ribosomal RNA
Source: RNAcentral
CUGGUUGAUCCUGCCAGUAGUCAUAUGCUUGUCUCAAAGCUUAAGCCAUGCAAGUCUCAGUACGAACUGACUUAAAGUGAAACCGCAAAAGGCUCGGUAAACCGGUCAUAGUUUACC